RNAcentral lists this ribosomal RNA (720 nucleotides) under uncultured bacterium. Its description in RNAcentral is "bacterial SSU rRNA". It matches the Rfam family "Bacterial small subunit ribosomal RNA", at positions 8 to 731 of the family's 1533-position model. The record is from RNAcentral.
AGAGUUUGAUCCUGGCUCAGAACGAACGCUGGCGGCGCGCCUAAUACAUGCAAGUCGAGCGAGAAGGUGUAGCAAUACACUUGUAAAGCGGCGAACGGGUGAGGAAUGCAUGGGUAACCUACCCUCGAGUGGGGAAUAACUAGCCGAAAGGUUAGCUAAUACCGCAUACGUUUCCGGAACUUCGGUUUCGGAAAGAAAGCAAUACCGUGGGUAUUGCGCUCCUGGAUGGGCUCAUGUCCUAUCAGCUUGUUGGUGAGGUAACGGCUCACCAAGGCUUCGACGGGUAGCUGGUCUGAGAGGACGAUCAGCCACACUGGCACUGCGACACGGGCCAGACUCCUACGGGAGGCAGCAGUAAGGAAUAUUGCGCAAUGGACGAAAGUCUGACGCAGCGACGCCGCGUGGGGGAUGAAGGUCUUCGGAUUGUAAACCCCUUUCGGGAGGGAAGAUGGAGUGGGUAACCACUUGGACGGUACCUCCAGAAGCAGCCACGGCUAACUUCGUGCCAGCAGCCGCGGUAAUACGAAGGUGGCAAGCGUUGUUCGGAUUCACUGGGCGUACAGGGAGCGUAGGCGGUUGGGUAAGCCCUCCGUGAAAUCUCCGGGCCUAACCCGGAAAGUGCAGAGGGGACUGCUCACUAGAGGAUGGGAGAGAGCGCGGAAUUCCCGGUGUANCGGUGAAAUGCGUAAAAUCGGAGAAGCCGGUGCAAAGCGGCCUCUG